Molecule: transfer RNA, 73 nt
Organism: Gossypium raimondii (Peruvian cotton)
Lineage: Eukaryota; Viridiplantae; Streptophyta; Magnoliopsida; Malvales; Malvaceae
Rfam family: tRNA
About the family: Transfer RNA (tRNA) molecules are approximately 80 nucleotides in length.
Source: Rfam
CGCAGGAUAGAGCAGUUUGGUAGCUCGAGGGCUCAUAACCUUGAGGUCAUGGGUUCAAAUCCUGUUCUCGUAA